AAAAAUAUGAGAUAGCGUAAAAAAUAAUACACGAGCUCGGGCCCUAUUUAUAGAUUUACAAGCGGAGGGGUAAAAUAGUAAAAACAUCUUCGGUACAUGCGUCCUGCGUGGUGGAAGGGUACGUUGGUAAUUUCGAUAAUACGCGGGAGACCUUCCCGCGCGUUUAUUGGCUCCUCUGAUGGAAGUGUCUUCUCUGGCGAAGGCGUCUUCUCUGGUGAUAUUGACAUCUCUGGCAUGAGGGAUUCCUCUGGUAAACACGUCUUC
This 264-nucleotide long non-coding RNA is filed under the name Salvia miltiorrhiza (redroot sage). RNAcentral's name for it is "long non-coding RNA (SMIL_LNC004428)". Lineage: Eukaryota; Viridiplantae; Streptophyta; Magnoliopsida; Lamiales; Lamiaceae. The record is from RNAcentral.